GAUGAACACUGGCGGCGUGCCCAAUACAUGCAAGUCGAGCGAACAGACGAGGAGCUUGCUCCUCUGACGUUAGCGGCGGACGGGUGAGUAACACGUGGAUAACCUACCUAUAAGACUGGGAUAACUUCGGGAAACCGGAGCUAAUACCGGAUAAUAUAUUGAACCGCAUGGUUCAAUAGUGAAAGACGGUUUUGCUGUCACUUAUAGAUGGAUCCGCGCCGCAUUAGCUAGUUGGUAAGGUAACGGCUUACCAAGGCAACGAUGCGUAGCCGACCUGAGAGGGUGAUCGGCCACACUGGAACUGAGACACGGUCCAGACUCCUACGGGAGGCAGCAGUAGGGAAUCUUCCGCAAUGGGCGAAAGCUUGACGGAGCAAUGCCGCGUGAGUGAUGAAGGUCUUCGGAUCGUAAAACUCUGUUAUUAGGGAAGAACAAAUGUGUAAGUAACUAUGCACGUCUUGACGGUACCUAAUCAGAAAGCCACGGCUAACUACGUG
Molecule: ribosomal RNA, 497 nt
Filed under: uncultured bacterium
Lineage: Bacteria
Description: partial 16S ribosomal RNA
Rfam family: Bacterial small subunit ribosomal RNA
Source: RNAcentral